This is a long non-coding RNA of Pecten maximus, 2584 nucleotides long. RefSeq lists it as uncharacterized. The record is from RefSeq and is a predicted model, not a curated record. NCBI's taxonomy places the organism in Eukaryota, Metazoa, Mollusca, Bivalvia, Pectinida, Pectinidae. The transcript has 2 exons.
GCUGUAGUUAUUUCUGUGUAUUAGACCCCUACUGUAUGUAUGGACACCAGCUGUAGUUAUUUCUGUGUAUUAGACCCCUACUGUAUGUAUGGACACCAGCUGUAGGUAUUUCUGUGUCGGAGAUUCUGUGUAUUAGACCCCUACUGUAUGUAUGGACACCAGCUGUAGGUAUUUCUGUGUAUUAGACCCCUACUGUAUGUAUGGACACCAGCUGUAGUUAUUUCUGUGUAUUAGACCCCUACUGUAUGUAUGGACACCAGCUGUAGUUAUUUCUGUGUAUUAGACCCCUACUGUAUGUAUGGACACCAGCUGUAGUUAUUUCUGUGUCGGCGAGUCUGUGUAUUAGACCCCUACUGUAUGUAUGGACACCAGCUGUAGUUAUUUCUGUGUCAGAGAGAUUCUGUGUAUUAGACCCCUACUGUAUGUAUGGACACCAGCUGUAGUUAUUUCUGUGUCAGAGAGAGUCUGUGUAUUAGACCCCUACUGUAUGUAUGGACACCAGCUGUAGUUAUUUCUGUAUCAGAGAUUCUGUGUAUUAGACCCCUACUGUAUGUAUGGACACCAGCUGUAGUUAUUUCUGUGUCGGCGAGUCUGUGUAUUAGACCCCUACUGUAUGUAUGGACACCAGCUGUAGUUAUUUCUGUGUAUUAGACCCCUACUGUAUGUAUGGACACCAGCUGUAGUUAUUUCUGUGUCGGCGAGUCUGUGUAUUAGACCCCUACUGUAUGUAUGGACACCAGCUGUAGUUAUUUCUGUGUCAGAGAGAUUCUGUGUAUUAGACCCCUACUGUAUGUAUGGACACCAGCUGUAGUUAUUUCUGUGUCGGCGAGUCUGUGUAUUAGACCCCUACUGUAUGUAUGGACACCAGCUGUAGUUAUUUCUGUGUAUUAGACCCCUACUGUAUGUAUGGACACCAGCUGUAGUUAUUUCUGUGUCGGCGAGUCUGUGUAUUAGACCCCUACUGUAUGUAUGGACACCAGCUGUAGUUAUUUCUGUGUCGGCGAGUCUGUGUAUUAGACCCCUACUGUAUGUAUGGACACCAGCUGUAGUUAUUUCUGUGUCGGCGAGUCUGUGUAUUAGACCCCUACUGUAUGUAUGGACACCAGCUGUAGUUAUUUCUGUGUCGGCGAGUCUGUGUAUUAGACCCCUACUGUAUGUAUGGACACCAGCUGUAGUUAUUUCUGUGUCAGAGAUUCUGUGUAUUAGACCCCUACUGUAUGUAUGGACACCAGCUGUAGUUAUUUCUGUGUAUUAGACCCCUACUGUAUGUAUGGACACCAGCUGUAGUUAUUUCUGUGUAUUAGACCCCUACUGUAUGUAUGGACACCAGCUGUAGUUAUUUCUGUGUCAGAGAUUCUGUGUAUUAGACCCCUACUGUAUGUAUGGACACCAGCUGUAGUUAUUUCUGUGUCAGAGAUUCUGUGUAUUAGACCCCUACUGUAUGUAUGGACACCAGCUGUAGUUAUUUCUGUGUCAGAGAUUCUGUGUAUUAGACCCCUACUGUAUGUAUGGACACCAGCUGUAGUUAUUUCUGUGUCAGAGAUUCUGUGUAUUAGACCCCUACUGUAUGUAUGGACACCAGCUGUAGUUAUUUCUGUGUCGGCGAGUCUGUGUAUUAGACCCCUACUGUAUGUAUGGACACCAGCUGUAGUUAUUUCUGUGUCGGCGAGUCUGUGUAUUAGACCCCUACUGUAUGUAUGGACACCAGCUGUAGUUAUUUCUGUGUCGGCGAGUCUGUGUAUUAGACCCCUACUGUAUGUAUGGACACCAGCUGUAGUUAUUUCUGUGUCGGCGAGUCUGUGUAUUAGACCCCUACUGUAUGUAUGGACACCAGCUGUAGUUAUUUCUGUGUCGGCGAGUCUGUGUAUUAGACCCCUACUGUAUGUAUGGACACCAGCUGUAGUUAUAUCUGUGUAUUAGACCCCUACUGUAUGUAUGGACACCAGCUGUAGUUAUUUCUGUGUCGGCGAGUCUGUGUAUUAGACCCCUACUGUAUGUAUGGACACCAGCUGUAGUUAUUUCUGUGUCGGCGAGUCUGUGUAUUAGACCCCUACUGUAUGUAUGGACACCAGCUGUAGUUAUUUCUGUGUCGGCGAGUCUGUGUAUUAGACCCCUACUGUAUGUAUGGACACCAGCUGUAGUUAUAUCUGUGUAUUAGACCCCUACUGUAUGUAUGGACACCAGCUGUAGUUAUUUCUGUGUCGGCGAGUCUGUGUAUUAGACCCCUACUGUAUGUAUGGACACCAGCUGUAGUUAUUUCUGUGUCGGCGAGUCUGUGUAUUAGACCCCUACUGUAUGUAUGGACACCAGCUGUAGUUAUAUCUGUGUCGGCGAGUCUGUGUAUUAGACCCCUACUGUAUGUAUGGACACCAGCUGUAGUUAUUUCUGUGUCGGCGAGUCUGUGUAUUAGACCCCUACUGUAUGUAUGGACACCAGCUGUAGUUAUUUCUGUGUCGGCGAGUCUGUGUAUUAGACCCCUACUGUAUGUAUGGACACCAGCUGUAGUUAUUUCUGUGUCGGCGAGUCUGUGUAUUAGACCCCUACUGUAUGUAACACAGAUUACCAAUAAAACUUGUUGUUUAUG